Long non-coding RNA from Lagopus leucura (white-tailed ptarmigan), 229 nucleotides. RefSeq lists it as uncharacterized. Lineage: Eukaryota; Metazoa; Chordata; Aves; Galliformes; Phasianidae. The transcript is spliced from 3 exons. The record is from RefSeq and is a predicted model, not a curated record.
CCUACAUAUAAGCGGUGCCCGAGGCCGGCCUCGACAGCCUGUGUGCUGCGUGAGGACGACGCUGGGUUUGCUGUGCUGUCGGUUCUGUCUCUGCUGUGAGAUGUCAGCCCCACACCCAGGGCCGCACGGAGGGCCGCCGCCGCCGCACGGAGGGCCCGGGCACGGAGGUCCACCGCACGGUCCUCCAGGGCAUCAUCACCCACCCGGCCCCCACCUGCCGCGCCCCCAU